RNAcentral lists this ribosomal RNA (800 nucleotides) under uncultured bacterium. RNAcentral describes it as "bacterial SSU rRNA". It matches the Rfam family "Bacterial small subunit ribosomal RNA", at positions 8 to 808 of the family's 1533-position model. The record is from RNAcentral.
AGAGUUUGAUCCUGGCUCAGGAUGAACGCUGGCGGCGUGCUUAACACAUGCAAGUCGAGCGAAGCGCUUAAGUUUGAUUCUUCGGAUGAAGACUUUUGUGACUGAGCGGCGGACGGGUGAGUAACGCGUGGGUAACCUGCCUCAUACAGGGGGAUAACAGUUAGAAAUGACUGCUAAUACCGCAUAAGACCACAGGGUCGCAUGACCCGGUGGUAAAAACUCCGGUGGUAUGAGAUGGACCCGCGUCUGAUUAGCUAGUUGGUGGGGUAACGGCUCACCAAGGCGACGAUCAGUAGCCGACCUGAGAGGGUGACCGGCCACAUUGGGACUGAGACACGGCCCAAACUCCUACGGGAGGCAGCAGUGGGGAAUAUUGCACAAUGGGCGAAAGCCUGAUGCAGCGACGCCGCGUGAAGGAUGAAGUAUUUCGGUAUGUAAACUUCUAUCAGCAGGGAAGAAAAUGACGGUACCUGACUAAGAAGCCCCGGCUAACUACGUGCCAGCAGCCGCGGUAAUACGUAGGGGGCAAGCGUUAUCCGGAUUUACUGGGUGUAAAGGGAGCGUAGACGGCAUGGCAAGUCUGAAGUGAAAGCCCGGGGCUCAACCCCGGGACUGCUUUGGAAACUGUCAGGCUAGAGUGCUGGAGAGGUAAGUGGAAUUCCUAGUGUAGCGGUGAAAUGCGUAGAUAUUAGGAGGAACACCAGUGGCGAAGGCGGCUUACUGGACAGUAACUGACGUUGAGGCUCGAAAGCGUGGGGAGCAAACAGGAUAAGAUACCCUGGUAGUCCACGCCGUAAACG